UGGGGGAUAUUGCACAAUGGGGGGAAACCCGUGAUGCAGCAACGCCGCGUGAAGGAAGAAGGUCUUCGGAUUGUAAACUUUGUCCUUGGUGAAGAUAAUGACGGUAGCCAAGGAGGAAGCUCCGGCUAACUACGUGCC
RNAcentral lists this ribosomal RNA (138 nucleotides) under uncultured bacterium. Its description in RNAcentral is "partial 16S ribosomal RNA". It matches the Rfam family "Bacterial small subunit ribosomal RNA", at positions 355 to 509 of the family's 1533-position model. The record is from RNAcentral.